Molecule: long non-coding RNA, 647 nt
Organism: Ornithorhynchus anatinus (platypus)
Lineage: Eukaryota; Metazoa; Chordata; Mammalia; Monotremata; Ornithorhynchidae
Exons: 2
Source: RefSeq, a predicted model, not a curated record
CCAGGGAGAAGAGGAGGAGGAGAUGACAGACGGAAGGUCGGAGACGGGGUCCCGGCGCCCCGGCGGGUGAGCCCCCGGCCGCCUGCCUGGAGGAGGAGGCCCGGCCCGGCCCCAGCUCCAGACCCGGAUGACUCCCUUCCUGAGCCCAGGGCUGCUGUACGCCCCGUGAUGGAAAGCUCCUGGAGGCAGAAGAACCCCACGUUCGACCCCUCCCCGCCAACACAAUGGGGGCCAGUCCUGAAUGCAGCACAACUUCAGAUCCCCAAGAGGGGAGACACUUGCAACUGCCCUGUUUAGCUCUCUAGGACUACCCCCCUCUGACUCAUGUAGGGGUCACCCGAUGGGGCAACAGCUCCAUGACCCUGGUGGAGUGGGCUAGGGGGGAGGCUUUGGGGACGUGACUAGUUAGAUCUCCUAGGGCUUAGACCCAAUAUGGACCACCCACCCAGAGACCCUCCGGAUGGGCCGGAAAGGUGUUCCUUUUGCCAUGGGAUUACCCAUACAGAGUGGUUACCACCCAUGGGAAGAUAUUUCACCACCUGUCAUGGGGGGUUGGGGGUACCUGUAAUUUUCAGAUGUCUUCAAUUGCUUUGUGGGGCAAUAGUAAAGUUCAGAUUUGGUUCACAGGAGGUUUUGGGCUCAGUGUA